AGGCGGAAGCCUCCGUCGCCGGAGAGCGUCCGUAUUGGGGUGCCACGCCGGCGGAGCAGACGCCGGCGACGAUCUGGAGCACAUCAGCGCAUGUUCAUUAGGCGGACCAUCAGCGCAGGUUCAUUAGCCGGAUGAUCGGCUGCGACCUGCAAGGACCGUGAAGGUGACAAGUCGUUUGGCGCUGGCUUCUUGAAAUAGAUCUCCAAGAUUAAACCGAGGCGAUGGGAGAGAGGCGACGGGAGAAGGCGGCCAGCCAGCAUCGACGGAGCUAGCGAGAUGUCACGGUCGUCGGCGACAAAGGCGCACACCAGUUGAUUUUGCAGCAAGAAAGCGCCUCGCUGGAUCUCUCUUCUUGCGGCAAAGCACUGGUAAAUGGACAGGAGGUGGAUGUGGUUACUUUCGAUGGUUUGAUGCUGAGGGAUGAAGUAUGGAGAUUUCAAGAUGGUCAUAGUGAGCUUCUGCCUUCCUGCGCUGAAAGCAGAGUGAAUAAAAGAAGCUGCAGCAUUUCGACAUCAUGUUGAUGAGAAGAAUGCCAAUGUUUUGUAUGCUCUAGUUGCAGGCAUUGUGAUGAUGUGUUCCUAGUAGAGAUAAUAAUCUGUAAUGAAAAUUGAGUGUACUGUGUUGAAGCAGACUUAAUGCAGAAUGAGAUCAUAUGAAUUUGAUGUUCUAUCCAGAAA
Brachypodium distachyon (stiff brome) is the source of this 677-nucleotide long non-coding RNA. RefSeq lists it as uncharacterized. The record is from RefSeq and is a predicted model, not a curated record. The transcript is spliced from 3 exons. NCBI's taxonomy places the organism in Eukaryota, Viridiplantae, Streptophyta, Magnoliopsida, Poales, Poaceae.